AGGAAAAGCCCCAGAUCCUUCUGGCCUCCACCCAGCAAUCCUUCCCUAGAGAAGCCAGGAUUCAGUGGAAAUUCAGCAACGGGAUGGAAUUGCUGGGGGAAAUCAUCAUUUUUAACAAGCAAUUCAGGAAAUGCUGACUCAUGCUGACAUUUAAGGACCACACAAAUAGACAAACAAAUGAGCAGACUGGAACAGAAAAGUAAACUCUCCCAGAGUCACACGGCUACUCAGGAAGGAUAGCUUCAUAGUCUCUACUCUUCAUGAGACACUCUGAAAACCCACUGCGAAGGAAGCUGAGAUAUGAAUG
Non-coding RNA from Macaca mulatta (Rhesus monkey), 307 nucleotides. The record is from RefSeq and is a predicted model, not a curated record. NCBI's taxonomy places the organism in Eukaryota, Metazoa, Chordata, Mammalia, Primates, Cercopithecidae.